UAGCAUAUCAAUAAGCGGAGGAAAAGAAACCAACCGGGAUUGCCUCAGUAACGGCGAGUGAAGCGGCAAGAGCUCAAAUUUGAAAGCUGGCCCCUCCGGGGUCCGCGUUGUAAUUUGCAGAGGAUGCUUCGGGUGCGGCCCCUGUCUAAGUGCCCUGGAACGGGCCGUCAGAGAGGGUGAGAAUCCCGUCUUGGGCAGGGUGCCCGUGCCCGUGUGAAGCUCCUUCGACGAGUCGAGUUGUUUGGGAAUGCAGCUCUAAAUGGGUGGUAAAUUUCAUCUAAAGCUAAAUACCGGCCGGAGACCGAUAGCGCACAAGUAGAGUGAUCGAAAGAUGAAAAGCACUUUGAAAAGAGAGUUAAACAGCACGUGAAAUUGUUGAAAGGGAAGCGCUUGCGACCAGACUCGGCCCCGGGGUUCAGCCAGCACUCGUGCUGGUGUACUUCCCCGGGGGCGGGCCAGCGUCGGUUUGGGCGGCCGGUCAAAGGCCCCAGGAAUGUAUCGCCCUCCGGGGUUGUCUUAUAGCCUGGGGUGCAAUGCGGCCAGCCCGGACCGAGGAACGCGCUUCGGCACGGACGCUGGCGUAAUGGUCGCAAACGACCCGUCUUGAAACACGGACCAAGGAGUCUAACAUCUACGCGAGUGUUCGGGUGUCAAACCCGUACGCGCAGUGAAAGCGAACGGAGGUGGGAGCCCCCCCGGGGCGCACCAUCGACCGAUCCUGAUGUCUUCGGAUGGAUUUGAGUAAGAGCGUAGCUGUGGGGACCCGAAAGAUGGUGAACUAUGCCUGAAUAGGGCGAAGCCAGAGGAAACUCUGGUGGAGGCUCGCAGCGGUUCUGACGUGCAAAUCGAUCGUCAAAUUUGGGUAUAGGGGCGAAAGAC
RNAcentral lists this ribosomal RNA (879 nucleotides) under Aspergillus navahoensis. Its description in RNAcentral is "LSU rRNA". It matches the Rfam family "Eukaryotic large subunit ribosomal RNA", at positions 36 to 931 of the family's 3401-position model. Lineage: Eukaryota; Fungi; Ascomycota; Eurotiomycetes; Eurotiales; Aspergillaceae. The record is from RNAcentral.